RNAcentral lists this ribosomal RNA (484 nucleotides) under uncultured Streptococcus sp. RNAcentral describes it as "bacterial SSU rRNA". It matches the Rfam family "Bacterial small subunit ribosomal RNA", at positions 897 to 1382 of the family's 1533-position model. The record is from RNAcentral. Lineage: Bacteria; Bacillati; Bacillota; Bacilli; Lactobacillales; Streptococcaceae.
AAACUUAAAGGAAUUGACGGGGCCCGCACAAGCGGUGGAGCAUGUGGUUAAUUCGACGCAACGCGAAGAACCUUACCAGGGCUUGACAUCCCCUGACCGCGUAUGAAAGUACGUUUUCACCCUCGGGUGACAGGGAGACAGGUGGUGCAUGGUUGUCGUCAGCUCGUGUCGUGAGAUGUUGGGUUAAGUCCCGCAACGAGCGCAACCCCUAUUGUUAGUUGCCAUCAUUCAGUUGGGCACUCUAGCGAGACUGCCGGUAAUAAACCGGAGGAAGGUGGGGAUGACGUCAAAUCAUCAUGCCCCUUAUGACCUGGGCUACACACGUGCUACAAUGGUUGGUACAACGAGUUGCGAGUCGGUGACGGCGAGCUAAUCUCUUAAAGCCAAUCUCAGUUCGGAUUGUAGGCUGCAACUCGCCUACAUGAAGUCGGAAUCGCUAGUAAUCGCGGAUCAGCACGCCGCGGUGAAUACGUUCCCGGGCCUU